This 347-nucleotide unclassified non-coding RNA is filed under the name soil metagenome. RNAcentral describes it as "partial contains 5.8S ribosomal RNA, internal transcribed spacer 2, and large subunit ribosomal RNA". The stretch from base 1 to 120 matches the Rfam family "5.8S ribosomal RNA", at positions 35 to 154 of the family's 154-position model. The record is from RNAcentral.
GAUGAAGAACGCAGCAAAAUGCGAUAAGUAAUGUGAAUUGCAGAAUUCAGUGAAUCAUCGAAUCUUUGAACGCGCAUUGCGCCCGCUGGUAUUCCGGCGGGCAUGCCUGUUCGAGCGUCAUUUCAACCCUCAAGCCCCCGGGUUUGGUGUUGGGGAUCGGCUCUGCCCUUCUGGGCGGUGCCGCCCCCGAAAUACAUUGGCGGUCUCGCUGCAGCCUCCAUUGCGUAGUAGCUAACACCUCGCAACUGGAACGCGGCGCGGCCAUGCCGUAAAACCCCAACUUCUGAAUGUUGACCUCGGAUCAGGUAGGAAUACCCGCUGAACUUAAGCAUAUCAAUAGCGGAGGA